This 407-nucleotide ribosomal RNA is filed under the name uncultured bacterium. Its description in RNAcentral is "partial 16S ribosomal RNA". It matches the Rfam family "Bacterial small subunit ribosomal RNA", at positions 30 to 526 of the family's 1533-position model. The record is from RNAcentral.
AUUGAACGCUAGCGGGAUGCCUUACACAUGCAAGUCGAACGGAGUGGCGAACGGGCGAGUAAUGAAUCGGAACGUGCCCAGCAGCGGGGGAUAACUACGCCAAAGCGAAGCUAACAACGCACACUAAUUGAGCGGCCGAGAUCGGUGUAGCUAGUUGGUGGGGUAAUGGCUCACCAGGGCGACGAUCCGUAGCUGGUUUGAGAGGACGACCAGCCACACUGGGACUGAGACACGGCCCAGACUCCUACGGGAGGCAGCAGUGGGGAAUUUUGGACAAUGGGGGAAAGCCUGAUCAAGCCAUCCCGCGUGUGCGAUGAAGGCCUUAGGGUUGUAAAGCACUUUUGGCAGGAAGGCGGUACCUGCAGAAUAAGCACCGGCUAACUACGUGCCAGCAGCCGCGGUAAUUC